RNAcentral lists this ribosomal RNA (138 nucleotides) under uncultured eukaryote. Its description in RNAcentral is "partial 18S ribosomal RNA". It matches the Rfam family "Eukaryotic small subunit ribosomal RNA", at positions 1299 to 1458 of the family's 1831-position model. The record is from RNAcentral.
UGGUGGAGUGAUUUGUCUGGUUAAUUCCGUUAACGAACGAGACCUUAGCCUACUAAAUAGUCGGGCCAAAUACCGUUUGGCGGCGACUUCUUAGAGGGACUUUGCGAAAAAAGCGCAAGGAAGUUUGAGGCAAUAACA